CUCAGUUCGGAUUGGAGUCUGCAACCCGACUCCAUGAAGCUGGAUUCGCUAGUAAUCGCGCAUCAGCCACGGCGCGGUGAAUACGUUCCCGGGCCUUGUACACACCGCCCGUCAAGCCAUGGAAGCCGGGAGUGCCUGAAGUACGCGACCGCAAGGAGCGUCCUAAGGUAAAACCGGUGACUGGGGCUAAGUCGUAACAAGGUAGC
Molecule: ribosomal RNA, 206 nt
Filed under: uncultured bacterium
Lineage: Bacteria
Description: partial 16S ribosomal RNA
Rfam family: Bacterial small subunit ribosomal RNA
Source: RNAcentral